This is a long non-coding RNA of Oreochromis aureus, 3814 nucleotides long. The record is from Ensembl. NCBI's taxonomy places the organism in Eukaryota, Metazoa, Chordata, Actinopteri, Cichliformes, Cichlidae.
UAUGCAUGUGAGAAUGUGUGUGUACGGGUUCGUACUAUCCUGGUGGGGACCAAAAUCUGACAUUUACUAUACUGGUGGGGACUUUCUGCACCGUGGGGACCAAAAUCCAGGUCCCCUCGGGGUUGAAAGCAAUUUUCACACUGAAAAUGGGGUUUUAGUGUCAGGGUUACAAUUAGGUUAUGGUUAGGUUUAGGGUAAGGGUUAGGGUUAGGCAUUCAUUUUUAAUGGUUAGGGUUAGGGUAAGGGGCUAGGGAAACCAUUAUGUCAAUGGGAUGUCCCCACCAGGAUAGCAAACCAGACAUGUGUGUGUGUGUGUGUGUGUGUGUGUGCGUCCGUAAAAAAGAUUUGUGUGUGGACUUAGCCAAAAACCCCAUGCAAGUUACAAGUACGAAUUUUGACCCUAUUUUUCUUCCUUUUAGCUGAUUGGUUAAUGUCAUGUCAAUCACAAAUUAAACAGUCCAAUCAGAGAACAGAUGGGUUUGGCUAUCUAUCUAGAUAGAUAGAUCAGUCUAUAUAUAUUUAAACACUGAUCUUUUUUUUUUCUUUUGCACCACUUUGGGUAAAGUGAAGUGGAUGACCUGCAUCACACAGCACAUGAAGUCAGAGACACACUUCCCAAUUUUGCUGCUGAGAUGAACACUGACAUCCCAGCCAACAAUAAGGAAGGUACUUUUCAUACCAAAUGUCAGAGUUAUUUUUGCAUACAAUGUACUUUAUCUUUUAGUAGAACAGUGGGGAAAGGCUAGUGAUCCGCAAGAUGCUGCAGUUUUGUUUAAAAGGCAUCUCUUAAAGGAAAAGGAGGAGAACCCCAUAAUCACAGCUAUCAUUGGCAUUCGACAAGAUCAAACAUCCCAGAGCCGAGAGAUCAUUGCUUUCUACAAAAGACCACAGAUUGAUUGGGCAGGACCUUUUCAUUGUUCUUUACAAGGUGACAUAGCUGUUGGCACUGGGGUCCAGAGCAAGGUUAUUAUCGUUAACUAAAACUAACGAAAUAACGAAAACUAGAAGUGAAAAAACAUUUUCGUUAACGGAAAUAAAAAUAAAAACGAAAAAAGGAAAACUAACUAAAACUGUAAUGAGUGUUCACAAAACUAACUAAAAUUAACUGAAUUUAUAGCAAAAAUAUGUUUAGUUUUUGUUUAUGUGUGCGUGUCAUACAAUAGUCAAGGGUGAAAAAGAAGUUUAGUUUCCAGGUUUUUUUCUUGCUGUGUCUCAUUAUGCCAGCAGGUGGCAGUACGUUAGUCGAGUCGUCUGUGUUGCUGCUCCGUCCACGCGCAGAAUCAUGUCAGGAAAAGUCUGGAAAAAGCGCCAGAGUCCAAUUUGGGAUUACUUUGAAUAUGUUUUGAAUAAAGCAAGUGUCUUGUAGAGGAACGAGACAAAUUAUGAGGGACAUUUCUAAAGGGAAAAAAAUCCCACAAACCUUAAAGUGCACUUGAAAAGCUCACACAAGAAGGCUAAGCUAGCUUACCUUGAGAAGGUAAGGGAGCACGCCCAACCCUCAUCCCCAGAAACAGAAGCUAACCCCAGGCAAGGCAGCGUGAUGCAUCCCGAGACAACAGGACUGGGAUAUCUACAUAACUGUGUGAGUCAAUUGCCUUCAAAAAGCUUAUCAAUUCACUUGAACCAAAAUUACGAACACCCGGUGCUGCAAGAGUUAAUAGUCUCGUUGUGGCCAAGAUAUACGUUUUAUAGUUGCCUGGUAUCAACGGUUGUUCAUCUCCCCUAAUUUAUUUAUUUAUUAAUUUAUUUAUUUAUUUAUUUGUUUAAAGAACCCAUAGGUGGGAAUGUGAGUUGUCUGUCUCUGCAUGUUAGCCCUGUGACAGACAGGCGACGUGUGCAGGGUGCAGGGUAUGGUAGCUGGAAUAGCAACAUACCCAAGGAUAAGCAGAAGAGAAUGCCUGAUAUAAUGAAACUGGGAUUUUGUUACACUUUAUUGCAAACACAACUAAAACUAUAACUGAAACUAAUCAAAACUAAACUGAAACUAAGGAUUUUCCAAAAAAUAAAAACUAAACUAAACUAGCAAACAAUUGGUAAAAACUAAUUAAAACUAAUAUAAAAUUGAAAAUCUGAAGUCAAAACGAAAUAAAAAUAAAAACUAAUGAAAAUUGCAAAACUAUUAAAACCCUCGUCCAGAGACAUUUUUUCUGCAUGGCAAUGCUAAAGUUGCAACAUGGCUUUAACACCCAUAGCGGUAUGCUUCUAUAUCCUUUUCUUAAUUAAUGUGAGAUGAGUUUUUAAACAAAUCCAUCGAAAAAUUUACUCCAGAAAUUAAAAAAAAAAAAGAUACCAUUGAAGUAUUUGCAUCAUGUUUGACAACUUCGUUAAUCAACUACUUAUGUCAAUAGUUAUUUUGCUUGUACUGUUCUUCUCCAGGUGCAGCCAACAUGACCCUUCUCUUUGAGGGACAACAGAACCAUCUAGUGCCUUCUACUUCUCAGAUUUUGGCAGACAGUGACUUUGUGGUAGCAGGCAGAAUGAUUGGGCAUUCAUUUUUGAACGAUGGGCCACGAUUGCAUGGCCUCAGCAAGGCUAUUAUUCACAUGUUGGUCCAUGCUGAUAGAGACACUGUCACUGUCCAGCUCGAUGAUGUGCCAGAUCUAGAUAUUCGUUCUACAAUUUACAGGCUUGACGGUAACAAACACCUCACUGAGCAGCAGAAGGAUGACAUUAACAAUUUGGCCAUUUCCUGGGACUUGCCACCCGUCAGUGCAGAAAACUGCAGAUGGCUGUUCCAACAGCUUCUCCAUCAUGCAGUGAUAGGCUGAACUAAAAGGCAGACAAAACACAUCAGAAAAGGUCUGAAGGACACCGGAUUGUUGACUAUGCUUCAACAAAGACCUGACACAGCCUCAGUGGUCUUUCCCCAGCAUGAAGACAGCAUUCUUACUGCACAGGCUGUUCUUAGCCACAUUGUUUGGCCAGGAGAUGAGGGCGAUGAUGAAGACGAUGAUGAUCCACCUUACCCACUAAGCAUCCAAAUGCAAACAGUGGGAUUUCUGAAGACCUACAUUGAAACAGGCAAGUGUAAUUGCAUUGCGAUUCAAAAUUUGAAUCUAAUUUGAUUUCUAAUGCAUUGAUUAUUUUUACAGCCACUCCAUUCCAGCUCAGCCAGCUGAUGAGGUUUUGGGUCGGGUGGGAAAUUCCGACUGGUACCAUGAAGGUUGAAGUGGUCAAAGCAGACUACCUCAUAUCCUGUACAUGUUUUGGAAUGUUGCGUGUCCCUGGGCACUUCCACGAGUACAAUGUCUUUUCCAAACAUGUUGAUGAUUGCAUUGCAACUUGUGCCACAGGUUUCGGCCUUAUUUAAAAGCAAUUUGUAGACACUGGAUGUCGAAUAAACUUUACCAUGCUUGAAAAAUGUUUUACAUAGCCAAAAGUUUCACUGUUUACGUAGGCUUAUUGAUUUUUUGGGAAUAUUGUUAUGCGAGUUUAAAUAUAAAAAUUAAAGUUACAGUUCCCACCAUUAACAUUUAUAUUUGAAGUUAAGGAACUAAUGAUUGUGUUAUUUAGGGUUGUUUUGUUAACUUGAAGUCAUUGUCAUGCAUCCGAUUCACAUCAUCUCUUUGUUUGAAGCAGUUUCAUGGAUUACAAGAGGUGUAAAAAAGUAGAUUAAUACUAAAGCUGUAUUAAAUGUUACACACAGUCCAAUGCUGUUGAAUAUAAUGUUAAUAAAAAUCUGCCACACUGUCAGCUGUGGUCAAGCUAUUUAAUUACCGCAUGCAGGACAGCUAACACACAUCAAAACAUUACAGUUCUACAGUCAUGAGAGUUUUUGUAACUUUCAAGCUGUUUUCAAUAAAGUCAAGUUUUG